RNAcentral lists this long non-coding RNA (484 nucleotides) under Nicotiana benthamiana. Its description in RNAcentral is "long non-coding RNA (NBEN_LNC008350)". The record is from RNAcentral. Lineage: Eukaryota; Viridiplantae; Streptophyta; Magnoliopsida; Solanales; Solanaceae.
AUCAUAAUCGUUGGAUUUCAAUGAUGCAACAUCCAAGAACUAAGGCCUCCCCCUCCCCCAAGUAUAAUAUUGUGUGAAAGUUAUCCAGCCCCCCUUGAUUCAAGACCCCUCAUUCCAUCUCCUCACACUCUCCGUCUCGAGAAACCUUAGCCUUCACCCUAAAAACCUCCCAUCGUCUCCGCUGUCAGCCACUCGCCGCGACUCGCCUCAUGAUGGUUCCGGCAUACCAAUCCACACAAAAGUAAAAUCACAGAACCCCUAUUGCUUUCUCUUUCCAAAUCCCUAAUACAUGUCCCUCUCAUCCCUCCCAAACAACUCAAAUCUUAGAAUUAAGAUCGAUUCCCAAAAUCUUAUCUCACCCAAAAAAUCCCAAAUUCACACCCUAUAACCCCUAACAUUCCCUCGUUGCUAUCUUGCUUUGAUUUCGAAAAAUUCCUAUCCAACUUGCUCAAAUUUUGAAUACGAAAUCAUGAACCCUAUUNNN